Haliotis rubra (blacklip abalone) is the source of this 504-nucleotide long non-coding RNA. RefSeq lists it as uncharacterized. NCBI's taxonomy places the organism in Eukaryota, Metazoa, Mollusca, Gastropoda, Lepetellida, Haliotidae. The transcript has 3 exons. The record is from RefSeq and is a predicted model, not a curated record.
CAACAUCAGGGAAGCCUCGCGGAUAUUUUAUUAAAGGGACGCUACUCCAAACUGUUAGCUUUUCCCAGAGGGCGCUCACAUUCUUCGAGCAGACGACGCGACAUGAUCACAAGCUUGGCCAUCGGAGUACAGGUUUCCUCGAAUAUAUAGCGGUGAUGUUUACAGCUUGUGGCAACAUAUUCACGUGAAGAACAGAACAUGAAGGAGUGGUGAUUCCAACUGCUGUACCCAUACAAAAGAGGCCAAGGCAUAAGCACAGACCUUGUAUACAGAUGAAGAUCUCCUGUGAAUAUUUCUUUCUCCUCCUCAUCUGAUAACUGAAAAUAUAAGGAUGCCCUGCCACUAAGUCCAAGUCCUGAUUUGUAAUUUAAGAGAUAAAUUAAGGUCAUCUAAACCAGAAUUAUCUUUUGUUCAUUUUGUUGCUGUCAUCAUCAAACUUUUAACUGAUCAAGAAAAUGGAUUGUGGGGCAUCAGAUGCAGAGACUAUUUUGCUGCUCUCACUCU